GCAGGGUGAGGGAGGUGAUUCUGCCCCUCUGUCCUGCUCUUGUGGAACCCCACUUGGAGUGCUGCAUCCAGCUUUGGAGCGCCAACAGAAGAAACAUGAACCUGUUGGAAAAAUCCAGAGGGUGGGUGAUGAAGAUGAUCCGAGGGCGGGAGCACCUCUCCCAUGAACACAGGCUGAGGAAACUGGGGCUGUUCAGCCUGGGGAAGAGAAGGCUCCAGGGAGAUCUUCCAGUACCUAAAGGGGGCUUACAGGAGAGCUGGAGGGGAACUUUUCACAAGGACGGAAACAUCUGAAAUAAGCAUCAUGCUCUCCGGAGACAGAGGGAAGACUUUUCAUCAUCCAAAGCCCUGUCAGUCCUUUCCAGGUGGCACAGAAGGAAACUUUGCUAAUUCCUCACUCCUACCUACUUCUUUGGAAGUGGAAGAAUGGAACAGAAUCACAGCUGAUGUAUCAAGUGGGCAUGUUGUGUGUAUUUGAGUGGAUCAGGACUGGGAAGAUACUAUAUUUUUACAGAGUAUAGGCAAGUCACUUGCCCCAAAUCAGACCCCUUUAGUAAGUUUCUAGAAAAAGAAAUCACAAAAUGUUUAUUACUUGAA
Melospiza melodia melodia is the source of this 596-nucleotide long non-coding RNA. RefSeq lists it as uncharacterized. The transcript is spliced from 3 exons. Lineage: Eukaryota; Metazoa; Chordata; Aves; Passeriformes; Passerellidae. The record is from RefSeq and is a predicted model, not a curated record.